UGUUAAUGAUUUCAUCCAUUUCUACGGUUAAAACUAGAGUACCUGACAGAAUAACAAGACAAUACACGUGACAUGCCACAUAUACCUUAUACUGAUGUACAGGGGCCAGUUUUUAACAGCGGAAAUGGAUGAAACUUUUAAUA
This is a non-coding RNA of Gossypium raimondii (Peruvian cotton), 143 nucleotides long. NCBI's taxonomy places the organism in Eukaryota, Viridiplantae, Streptophyta, Magnoliopsida, Malvales, Malvaceae. The record is from Rfam.